CCCUAAACCAUCGCGAACCCACCCCUAAACCGUUGCCUCGGCGGCGCCCCAGGCCCGCCGGCGCACCCCGAACUCUUUGUAUUUACCGGCCUCUCUGAGUACUGUACUUUAAUAAGUCAAAACUUUCAACAACGGAUCUCUUGGUUCUGGCAUCGAUGAAGAACGCAGCGAAAUGCGAUAAGUAAUGUGAAUUGCAGAAUUCAGUGAAUCAUCGAAUCUUUGAACGCACAUUGCGCCCGCCAGUAUUCUGGCGGGCAUGCCUGUUCGAGCGUCAUUUCAACCAUCAAGCCCCGGGCUUGUGUUGGGGACCUGCGGCUGCCGCAGGCCCUGAAAUCCAGUGGCGGUCUCGCCGUCGCACCGAGCGUAGUAGCAUACUUCUCGCUCCGGGCGCGCGGCGGGCACCUGCCGUAAAACCCCCCUAUUUCUCAAGGUUGACCUCGGAUCAGGUAGGAAUACCCGCUGAACUUAAGCAUAUCAAUAAGCCGGAGGAA
RNAcentral lists this ribosomal RNA (491 nucleotides) under Cladorrhinum coprophilum. RNAcentral's name for it is "eukaryotic LSU rRNA". The stretch from base 121 to 274 matches the Rfam family "5.8S ribosomal RNA". Lineage: Eukaryota; Fungi; Ascomycota; Sordariomycetes; Sordariales; Podosporaceae. The record is from RNAcentral.